GACAGAGGGUGCAAACGUUGCUCGGAUUUACUGGGCGUAAAGCGCGUGUAGGCGGCCGACUAAGUCGGAUGUGAAAUCCCUGGGCUCAACCUAGGAACUGCAUUCGAAACUGGUCACCUAGAGUGAUGGAGAGGAAAGCGGAAUUCCCGGUGUAGAGGUGAAAUUCGUAGAUAUCGGGAGGAACACCAGUGGCGAAGGCGGCUUUCUGGACAUUUACUGACGCUGAGACGCGAAAGCGUGGGGAGCAAACAGG
This 253-nucleotide ribosomal RNA is filed under the name uncultured bacterium. RNAcentral describes it as "partial 16S ribosomal RNA". It matches the Rfam family "Bacterial small subunit ribosomal RNA", at positions 524 to 776 of the family's 1533-position model. The record is from RNAcentral.